AUACGUAGGGUGCUAGCGUUAAUCGGAAUUACUGGGCGUAAAGCGUGCGCAGGCGGUUUUGUAAGACAGAGGUGAAAUCCCCGGGCUCAACCUGGGAACUGCCUUUGUGACUGCAAGGCUAGAGUACGGCAGAGGGGGAUGGAAUUCCGCGUGUAGCAGUGAAAUGCGUAGAUAUGCGGAGGAACACCGAUGGCGAAGGCAAUCCCCUGGGCCUGUACUGACGCUCAUGCACGAAAGCGUGGGGAGCAAACAGGAUUAGAUACCCUAGUAGUCC
Molecule: ribosomal RNA, 274 nt
Filed under: uncultured bacterium
Lineage: Bacteria
Description: partial 16S ribosomal RNA
Rfam family: Bacterial small subunit ribosomal RNA
Source: RNAcentral